Molecule: non-coding RNA, 507 nt
Organism: Equus caballus (horse)
Lineage: Eukaryota; Metazoa; Chordata; Mammalia; Perissodactyla; Equidae
Source: RefSeq, a predicted model, not a curated record
GCCCAGGAUCCGAACCCGAGAACCCUGGGCCGCCAAAGUGUAGCACACAAAAAUUUAAAUCUUGGGUUUUCCAAGAUAAAUAUGUUCUUUGAGUGUAGUUACAUUGUCUCUCAUAUAUUAUUUCUAUUUCAGAGAGUAAAAAGGAGUAAUCGGUAUUUACUUCAAGAGAUAUUUUUUGUAUUGGAUUCAAAUGUUAUCCAGUCUGUUCUCAACUUACUCAUUUUUUUGGAGCUCAAAUCAGAAUAAGAGUUCUUCUAGCACUAUCACACUUUCUGAAAUUCACCUUUAAACUUGUGUUACUUACAAAAUUGGGAUCCUGCUCCAGAGAAAGUUGGCUGUGACAGAAAAUCUAUAAGAGAAGAGAAUUCAUCGAACCUUGCCAACCUUCGAGCAGGCUUUUCCUUAGAUGAUUAAAUAUCAGCCAGAAAAAGUGGAAACUAAAUUGUCCAUUCACUUAAACUCAGAUUGUAAACCUAAAGUGGCUCAAUAAACCAAUUUUUCUUCCUC